CAAAACGGUGAAUAUCCCCAAAAGUCAGAAAACGCGCGGAUCCUCCCCUGGGUCGGGUCACCGUGCGGGUCAGGGCCAAAACGGCGUCGUUUUGGCUCCUGACCCUUAAGGGCAAAACGGCGCCGUUUCAUUAAAGCAAUUUUUUUAAAAAAAAAACUUCAAUCUUUCAGUGUAAAAAAAAAAACUGCAGAGAGGAAAAAACAUUCUCUCAAUCCUUCCCCUUUCCGGCCAAAUGGGCCACCGUCGGCCCCGCCGUGGGCGGUGGUCGGUGGUCGGAAGCCCAAACGUCGGGCUUUUAAGCCCUGCUUCAAGGACCACUGAAGACCAAGUCUUCAUAGCCUCGGGGUCACGAGAGAAAAAAAAAAUCGUCGCCCUCCUUGCCCGAUUUCGGUGACCCAAAGUAGGACUCCGGCGACGAUGCUCGCGGGGCGAUUCCGGUAUAGGGCGGUGGAGGAGACGUGACACGGACGGGGUAGGUGCGCCAUUUGCGCUGACGGGGCAGAAGUCAGAAGACCCUAGCAUGCGGCACCGAGGGAGGGGCUAGGGUUCUGAAACCCUAGUCUCUGUUGGGUUUGGGCCUAUUGUUUUUGUUUUGCUGGUAUAAGGCCCGGGCAAAUUUGGGCUGUACAGUAAAUAUAAAUACACAAUUGAUGAAAGUAAUAAAAUACGUAUAAUAAAAUUAAAAUAUAUAAAUAAAUCAAAAUAA
Gossypium raimondii (Peruvian cotton) is the source of this 706-nucleotide long non-coding RNA. RefSeq lists it as uncharacterized. NCBI's taxonomy places the organism in Eukaryota, Viridiplantae, Streptophyta, Magnoliopsida, Malvales, Malvaceae. The record is from RefSeq and is a predicted model, not a curated record. The transcript has 2 exons.